Molecule: long non-coding RNA, 213 nt
Filed under: Mytilus galloprovincialis (Mediterranean mussel)
Lineage: Eukaryota; Metazoa; Mollusca; Bivalvia; Mytilida; Mytilidae
Source: RNAcentral
AGUUUUCUCUCCUUAAAGGAUUUCCGACAGCAAUAUAUGGAAUUUCUACAUGCUCAGCAAUAGGAGCAAUAUGGAUGGGUUCAAAAUCAAUUAAAACAGUUCUACGUUGGAAUUAAUUGGUUAGUGUAUGCUGCAACACAUUUUUGAAGAUGGAGGUUUACCGAUAUGGCAGAACUUGUAUUUUAUCUUUUUUUAUAAAUAUAUCUGUAACAC